UCUAGACGGCAAACUGGACCAGUAAUAGCCCUGUGAAGGGAUCUUUUGACAGCCGAUUUCCAAGCAAAAGGAAAUGAGCCUCCCCAACCAAAACUCCUUGCCAGAUCAUUGCCUGUACCCAGAGGAAUGAUUCCUACGGGAGGAAUUGGCUCCCUCCCCUGUCUGUUAAGUGAUGCAAGACUCCCCAGUAUCCAACCAACUGUACCAUCACCUCCUGCAACCAUAAUUCUCAUCUUUUCUCGAGUAUCUCUGGCACAAAAAUCACCAAGGGCAGCCAACUUCUCUAGGCAGACUAGCCCAAAUUCCACAAAUUCGGGAGGCUUCACGUCAAAGAGAUCAAAAACCUGUUCUUCGCCCAUUAACUGCUGAAGCCGUUCCUUGAGUUCAGGUCCAUGGCGGCCGCCACUCCUAGAAUUGACAAAAACGACCAUGGGGCCCUCAGGAGCCUCCUCAUGGGCGUAAAGUUCACCGGUAUUGAAGUAACGCUCGGCUUCACCGACGGGGUCUUUGGACUUGAUGGAAUCACCAAUUGCGUGACGCAGAUACUCCGGAAUCAGCAGUUUCCUCCUCAAGCUCUCCUUAUCGAUUCGGACCCCCGACAAGCCGCACCCACGGAUCGACUCAAUCAUCGACGAUCGCGCCGGCACGAUCCGAGCCGACGAUCCUCCGGUCGACGUCGGCGAGUCCAUUUCUAAUACUACCCCUCAGUCUCCACAAAGCCAAGUGCUGUAAUGGCUUCGGUUCGGUAUGCGUUUGAAUUGCAACUGAAAAUUUUACGAUUUUUUGCACGAGAAAUGGAGAAAAUGAUUGCAGCAGUUUUCUU
RNAcentral lists this unclassified non-coding RNA (823 nucleotides) under Hevea brasiliensis (rubber tree). The record is from RNAcentral. Lineage: Eukaryota; Viridiplantae; Streptophyta; Magnoliopsida; Malpighiales; Euphorbiaceae.